GUACUUUCUAGAAGCUUUCAGCACGAGGCCGCUGAGGUAACGCGGGGGCGGGAAGCGUGCUCUCUCCGCGGGGGACAAGCGCGGUCCAGGCUUAGGAUUUUCCUUGUGAAAUGGCGUCUGCGUACCUCUGGAAGGCUGUAAGGGGGCUGAGAGUUGUAUUCCAUCGAAACCAGUGGAAAUAAAAUGUCUGUGAUACGUAUGCUGCAGGUAUCCUUAAAAUGCCAUCACUGCAUCUUUGAUGAAGAUGGGAAGCAGGAAGCAAAAACUGCAUUUAGAUAUAAUCCAACUGGAAUGUUUUGGAUCACAUCCUCCAGCUGCUAUUGCUUUGGUGCCUAUUGUGGUGAUCAUAGCUACAAACGCUAGUGAGAGAGGAGAAACAAUAUCAUUCUCACAGCACAGUUUCUGCAUAGCAUGGAAAAUAUAAUGUGGAAAUGGACAUCGACAUAGAUAAACCCCAUGGCUGCUGAUUUUCCUUCUCUUCAAUAUAGCUGAAGAAAGAUCAACUAGCCUAACAAAGAAAGCAUUUUGUUUUUAAUGUGACUGUCUUGGUCUGUCAACUAAUAAGGAGAAAAAAAGUAAGCUGUGAUCAACUUUGAAAUAGCUCAACUUUCAUCUUGCUUUAGUCUUCAAAUUGCUAUGGAUUCAGUGCCUUUCUUUGAAAGGUGAAAACUACUCAUCUGGAUCACAAGACGACUUGGGUUUUUGGAACUGGGAUAAUCUUGUGCAGCUGAAGAUGUUUGUGAGGCAAUUUGCUUCAAAAGAUCUGGCUAGAAGUAUGGUCACUGUGUGUCAGGAGCAAAAUAGGGUCACAGCUGGAACCACUGAUGGAGCACCUGGUGAAGGGGCGUAGCCAGCUCUGGGACACAGGUGGAAGCAAUCCCUCCUAAUCUCAUACAAUGGCUGGCAGCUGCAAAGGAAAAAAUCUCUACUUCGAGAUCGUCUCAUUUGGAGUGUUUGGUGGAUCUUGAUCCUUGGAAUGGGAUAUGUUGGUGCCAGAGGUUUUACAGUUCUCUUAGCUCCAUGUUGGUUUUUGGUCUCCCAUGAGGGUGGUGCCAUCUUUGUGACUGGGGAACCUGAGAGCAACAGGAAUGGUGUGGCAGGAGUAAGGAAAAGGUUUCACCUGGCGGCAGGUGCUGGAGAGAAACUGGAGGACUGCUGCAACUGGAGUUGGAGGUACAAUCACGUUUCAGAUGGAUUUCCUGCACCAAGUGCUGUGCCCAGAAGUGAGGUUUCCAAGGUUGACAUGUUAACCUGCUGUCAUUUUGCUCAGUACCUCAGAGGGCAGGCACAGGAGUCAAGAAGCAUCUUUUGGGUGCUGCUGGGAAUGUCCCAUGGGGCAUGGGCUCUGCAUGGAUGGACCAAUGCUCAUCCGGGGAAGGAUGGCUGCUGCAAGAGCUCAGGCUGCAGGGGAGACAAAGCGCUCCUCCGUGUACGUGUUUACCCUGAAGGAAAGACCACCAUUUGAAAAUGCUCUGAAGAAUCAUUUUGCUGCUCUUUCAUUUCUGGUGGAGGCAUCUCCUUCUGACAUCUUCAUGAGAAAUCGUGGAUGCAUCUUCAUGGUGCCAAGGGCAUUCCAGCACUUUUUGUUUAAAAACAGCAUUACCUUCUGAAUCAAGUUCUUCUAUUUAUAUUAUGCACAAGGGUAAUGGCAGCUUUGAUGUAUACGUCCUAAGCCGCCUUGUCUGAAGACAGUCUGCUAGCAAUGCUUAAGGAUGACGGUGUUCCAUUACCUGCUCUUUGAAGCAGCAGAGGUACCACAGAAUGGCUGUUAUUGAAAAUUUUCCUUGAUUAUUAUUUUUACUGCCAGACUUUUAAACCAUACAAUAUCAGCUUUCUUUCGACUUUGCUUCUUAGUUCCUUCUAUGGUAAAGCUUAAUACAGUGAACAUAUGGAACAGCUGAAAGGCUGCCAAAGGUUUAAAUGACAAGGUUAUAAAUACAGAGACAGCAUGUUUUCUUUCCCCCCUGAAUGUAUAGUUCUGUUGGUUUGAGCCAAAGCAGACAAUAAAUCAGAACGU
Long non-coding RNA from Gallus gallus (chicken), 2017 nucleotides. The record is from Ensembl. NCBI's taxonomy places the organism in Eukaryota, Metazoa, Chordata, Aves, Galliformes, Phasianidae.